AUGGUGUCCCCGUGGUGUCCCCGUGGUGUCCCUGUGGUGUCCCCAUGGUGUCCCCGCAGUGUCUCCCACUGCUCCCUGCUGCGUGUCCCCUGCCAGCCCACCCAGCGCCCACUGGGACCCAGCCGCAGGCACCCAGCGCCGCGGGCACACCAGGGCUGUGCGUGCAUGGGGCCGGGAGGGCAGCGGCACCUGGAGGGCGUGCAAAGGGCUGCGUGUGAGCAGGUGUACGCGCGUGCAAUGUGUGUGUGCGUGUGCAUGGGCGGCCUGUGCCGUGUGUACGUGAGCACGGGACUGCACAUAGGCAGGGCGCGUGCAGCCCUGCCUGAGCCCGCAGGUGCUGCGUGUGCCUUGCACACCUGUGCACGCCCAUCUUUGCAUGUGCACGACGACACGUGCACACCCUGCGGGGGCGGUGCCUGGGGUGCUUGGAGCCCUGCGGUAAGGAGUGGUGUGAGCGCGCAGUGGGUGUGCGGGGGGGCGUGCACGUGGGGGUGUGGGCGCACAAGUGACGUGUGCGCAACGAGGGUGCGCGUGGGGGUGUGUAAGGAUGGGGCGGGUGUGACCGCGGGGCAUGCAUGGGGUGGCUGGCGAUGCUCUUGGUGCUGUAGCUGGGGGUCCCCGGGGGUGCGGGGCUGGGGAUUGCAGUGCCCCGGUGCUGCGCCGCUGGACCCUGGUGCUGUGGUGCUGGACCCCGGUGCUGCGCCACCCCCGGGGUUACAACUGCUCCCCGUGGAGCUGUGGGAAAGGCUUUGUCAGCGCAGGGCAGAGAGCAAGGGUGAGCCAGGGCUGGGCGGCCUUGGCACAUGCCCCAGCGGGCAUGGGCAAGGGAUUUCCCUGCUGUCCUUGGAGCCGCCCGGCCCCUGCUCUUGGCCCUGUGUUUACAGCUUGUUUUGGGGUGGCGCGGACACUCCCGGGGCUGCAGGGGGACCAGCAGCUGGCGAGCCCCAGCCCCCUUUGAGGGCUGCAUGGCAGCUGUGGGGUGAGGGAGCUCCGUGCCCCUUGCCACCCCCCGGGCCGGUGGGCGCUGCGAGGCGCUCCCGCUGUCGGGGUCAGAUGGUGGCGGUGUCAGUCACCCCCUCCGUGCUGGCACCAGCACACCCCAGGGACUCUGCAUGCAGAGGAUCUUUGUCCCGUGGGCACAGCGGGAUGGGCACAGCACCGGGAUCCUGCAUCCCACUGGGAUCCUGCAUCCCGCCAGCAUCCCACAUCCCACCAGGAGCUGGGGGCCCCCAUGGCCGUGCCAUCGCGGUGGCAGUGCCCGUCCAACCCUUCAGAGCCCCCCCGGCCAGGUGGUGUUUGCUCCAGCAGCCCCGAGUUGGUAUUUGCCCCGACGCCUCCCUGCAAACCUGCUGCGGCCGGUCCCAGCCCCGCCUGCGUGCCCUUCCUCGCUGGGAGGAGGAGGAGGAGGAGGAGACGGCGGCUGAGGGCCAGCGUGCCACACUCCUCCUUCAUGUCGGGGAAGCUGAAGAAGAGCAGGAAGGCGGUGCUGGGGGAGAAGCUGUGGCAGAGCCUGGAGGAGAGGGGCAGUGCGGGCACCCAGCCGGGGUCGCACCCCGCACUCACCAGGUCCAAAACCUACGACCCCUCCUGUAA
Anser cygnoides (Swan goose) is the source of this 1593-nucleotide long non-coding RNA. Lineage: Eukaryota; Metazoa; Chordata; Aves; Anseriformes; Anatidae. The record is from Ensembl.